Molecule: long non-coding RNA, 870 nt
Filed under: Mytilus galloprovincialis (Mediterranean mussel)
Lineage: Eukaryota; Metazoa; Mollusca; Bivalvia; Mytilida; Mytilidae
Source: RNAcentral
CAUUUCAACAAUUUUCUCUUUAAUAUUAAAAUGAUAGGAAAUUAAUGAAUUGUGACCUUUUUGUCCUAGAAUCAUCUAUAUCAUUUAUAUUUAAAUACUGCAAUGGUCAUACAUUUAUUUUUUAGUUAAGAAUUUAAAAGCGCUUCUUUAAAAUCUAGUUUAGGUAUAUAGGCCAUAUUGCUGAUUGUAAUAGCUAGGAAUACAUAAGAUUCAAUCUCUUUAUAGUAAAUCAAUUUUUGUCGAUUUAAGAAAAUUUGUACAUAUAUUGAUACUUAAUUUUAGUAUUUAAUAAAUUAUACACACUUGAGACUGGAGGUAUAGAACCAACAAUUCAGGCCUGGUCAGAAAAAAAAACAUAGAAAAAAAUAGUACCUGUUUUUUUAGCAAAAAAGUUGCUAUCAAUAGCUGUAUGUGAUUAAAAUAUUUUGAUAACUGAGGUAUAAAAUGAAAGUUGAAGGAUUUGAGAUCACUGUAGAACCUAAGUCAAUUCUUUUAAAGAUUAGAAAAAAUAUGAAUUGAAUUAGAAGGUCAUAUAUUGCCUUUUUCUAAGAUCAGGCCUUUCAGUCUUGUACAAUUUCACAUAUGUAUUAUAUUUAUUGUGCUAAUUCUAUUGAAGAGAUGACAGUUUUUUUCAUUUUUUGUUUGUUUCAAUAAACCUCUAUAUGAACUUCAAUCAGUAGUUUGUAUUUGCUUCACCUACAGGGUACCUUGUGCCAUAUAUUCUAAGACCUAGAUAGAAAGUGACAUUAUAUUUAUUAUAUAUCUUACAUUUGUUAAUUUAAGAAAAACAAAGGUUGUACUAUGUCCUAAACUUACAUUUCAUAAGAUAGUAAUUGUGCCAUAUUAAGAAAAUAAUAAUUUAUAUUGUUA